RNAcentral lists this ribosomal RNA (493 nucleotides) under Occultifur sp. UFMG-CM-Y376. RNAcentral describes it as "eukaryotic LSU rRNA". The stretch from base 121 to 274 matches the Rfam family "5.8S ribosomal RNA". Lineage: Eukaryota; Fungi; Basidiomycota; Cystobasidiomycetes; Cystobasidiales; Microsporomycetaceae. The record is from RNAcentral.
UCUUUUUAGAGGUCCGACCCCUUCAUUUCCUUACACUGUGCACACACUUCUUUUUACACCAUUUUUAACACAUCAGUCUAAGAAUGUAAAUAGUCUCUUAAUUGAGCAUAAAACAAAUAAAACUUUCAGCAACGGAUCUCUUGGCUCUCGCAUCGAUGAAGAACGCAGCGAAUUGCGAUAAGUAAUGUGAAUUGCAGAAUUCAGUGAAUCAUCGAAUCUUUGAACGCACCUUGCACUCUUUGGUAUUCCGAAGAGUAUGUCUGUUUGAGUGUCAUGAAACUCUCAACCCCCCUGUUUUGUAAUGAAACGGGCGUGGGCUUGGAUUAUGGCUGUCUGUCGGCGUAAUUGUCGGCUCGGCUGAAAUACACGAGCAACCCAUUUGAAAUAGACGGUUUGACUCGGCGUAAUAAUUAUUUCGCUGAGGACGUCUUCUUCAAAAGUUAGUGGUGCUUCUAAUGCGCUAUUAUAGCACUUUAAGCUUUAGACCUCAAAU